AAACUAACAAGGAUGCCUUCAGUAGCGGCGAGCGAAGCAGGCAUAGCUCAAAUUUGUAAUCUGGCUGUUUUACAGUCCGAGUUGUAAUUUCUAGAGGCGAGUUCGGUGGCAGCUCUGGUUCAAGUCCGCUGGAACGCGGCGUCAUGGAGGGUGAGAAUCCCGUGAAUGAUCAGAUGUCUGUUGCUAUGUGAACCGUUUUCGAAGAGUCGAGUUGUUUGGGAAUGCAGCUCUAAAUGGGAGGUAAAUUUCUUCUAAAGCUAAAUAUUGGCCAGAGACCGAUAGCGAACAAGUAGAGUGAUCGAAAGAUGAAAAGAACUUUGAAAAGAGAGUUAAACAGUACGUGAAAUUGUUGAAAGGGAAGCGCUUGAGAUCAGACUUCCUGCCUAGACUGUCCUUGCUUCUGCAUGGGUCAACAGUCUGGGCGUGGAGGCCAGCAUCAGUUUUGACGGCCGGAUAAAGGUUUGGGGAAGGUGGCUCACCUCGGUGAGUGUUAUAGCCCCAGAUGCAAUACGGCCAGUUGGGACUGAGGACCGCGGCUUUUGCCUAGGAUGCUGGCGUAAUGGUCUUAAGCGAC
This 574-nucleotide ribosomal RNA is filed under the name Protomyces inundatus. RNAcentral describes it as "eukaryotic LSU rRNA". It matches the Rfam family "Eukaryotic large subunit ribosomal RNA", at positions 62 to 648 of the family's 3401-position model. The record is from RNAcentral. Lineage: Eukaryota; Fungi; Ascomycota; Taphrinomycetes; Taphrinales; Protomycetaceae.